CCUACGGGAGGCAGCAGUGAGGAAUAUUGGUCAAUGGCCGGAAGGCUGAACCAGCCAUGCCGCGUGAAGGUCAGUGCCCUAUGGGCGUUAAACUUCUUUUGUGCGGGAGCAAUAAUGGUCACGUGUGGCCAGACGAGAGUACCGUACGAAUAAGCAUCGGCUAACUCCGUGCCAGCAGCCGCGGUAAUACGGGGGAUGCAAGCGUUAUCCGGAUUUAUUGGGUUUAAAGGGUGCGUAGGCUGUGAGGUAAGUCAGCGGUGAAAUGCCCCCGCUCAACGGGGUGAAGUGCCAUUGAUACUGCCUGGCUGGAAGGCGGAUGCCGUGGGAGGAAUGUGUGGUGUAGCGGUGAAAUGCAUAGAUAUCACACAGAACACCGAUUGCGAAGGCAUCUCACGAAUCCGCGAUUGACGCUGAUGCACGAAAGCGUGGGUAUCAAACCGGAUUAGAUACCCUUGUAGUC
This 460-nucleotide ribosomal RNA is filed under the name uncultured bacterium. Its description in RNAcentral is "partial 16S ribosomal RNA". It matches the Rfam family "Bacterial small subunit ribosomal RNA", at positions 338 to 795 of the family's 1533-position model. The record is from RNAcentral.